Long non-coding RNA from Pseudopipra pipra, 20096 nucleotides. RefSeq lists it as uncharacterized. NCBI's taxonomy places the organism in Eukaryota, Metazoa, Chordata, Aves, Passeriformes, Pipridae. The record is from RefSeq and is a predicted model, not a curated record. The transcript has 9 exons.
ACCCUUUGUUCGCUGUGAGGGCCGUGGGAGUCGAGGUGCGGCGCCAUUUUGUUUGCUGUGAGGGCCGCGGAAAGGGCGCAGGCAUGGGCUGACCGGCGGGAAGGAGUCUGUUCUGCCAGGACCAGCAGGGUUCAGAAAUGGUGUGUUCGAGCAGGAGCUGCACCACACCUCCUGGACUGCAGAGCAGCAUAAGGCAGCUGGAGCUUCUACAUCCAGCAUUUUGUGUACGAGUGAAAAGUCUUCUUGGAUAAUUAAGACUGUGUCUAAAGUCACAGUUACAGUAUGCUGAUCUAUAAGGAAACUCAGACAAAGUUCCCCAGAGGACACCUGAACACCUCCACAUAAACAGAGCAGGAUCGUUUUCCCCCAGAGAGCAAAGUGUGACUCUGGAGCGGGACAAAAAGCAGCAGAGAUAACACCAACAUUGGUCACUACAUCUCAGUGGUUCGUGGAGGCUCUACAGGGGUUUUUUCUGUUGAGAUUGCUUGUGUCAUCACAAAAAGCAAGAGAUUUCUGACAAGAAUAGAGGAUGGAGAGAAAUAAUCUGUGAAGGCCAAGGCCAAUAAAAGCUUAACUGCAGCAACUGGGAAAUUAAACUUAUUUCUGGAGUAAUUCCACACUGGCAAGAAGCAUGCCCCUGGCAGGUUAAAGUGUCUCAUAAAUGACUCCUCAGGCAGACAGACAGUUCCAAAAACAAUGUUAACAGCCAUUAAAAAUGAAUUACUGGUUUUUAAUAUUUAAAAUGACAUGACCAUACAGGAACAAUGAAGACGGCAGGCUGCUGACUGUGCCAGGAAGGAAGGCUCCCAAACAACAGGGCUGUGCUGUUGGCACACUGAGCUGCUGGAGGGUGUAAUUAGUGCUCAUGCUGUAAUCUGAAAACCUGAGCAUGAGGAAUGUAAGUGUUAUUUUCUGGAAGCUACUGGAUUUGCUUUGACUAAGGCAUCUUCAGCAUCUCAUUCUUACAAAUCUGUGGUCCUUAAAACAAGUGAAAAUAAUGUCUGGAUUCCCCUCCCUGUCAUCUGCAAACCUUAGGCAUGUUGUAGAGUCACAGAGAAAAUGCACUUUGAAAAGUAAGGGGAAGGAGAAAGUGUCCGUUUUGUUAACUUUUUCUUGGUUGAAUGUGAAAUGGGAACGAGAAGCCUUUGGACUUCCAAAGCAGUUUCUUCUAUCAGAACAAUGCAUGACUCCACAUCAGCCAGAGUAUGAACAGAAAUUCCUUUAUUUUUGGCCACCACAGAAGCUACUGAUAGAUGCUUCCAGGUGCAGUUCAUUUAGAAAGUUUCUGGGAGCUCAGGGACUCUGGAGCCUCCCGACUUCAUGUCCACAAGGGUUUCUUGGGAAGGCCACUCCUAAUGCUAAACAGCACAUGAUCCAGGAGGUUCUUAGGUAGGAAGAGAGUUUUGGGAAUUGUGCCAUGGCAGUGAACUAUGAAGAAGACAAAUCAUAAAAUAAUAAAGCCAGGAAAGGCAUUAUGCCCAUAACUGUGCUCUGUGCACACCAAGCUUCAAGUUGUACACUCAUUUUAAAGGACACGCACUGCCAGCUUUCCAUCUCUUUGAUUUAUUUAGAGCCCCAUGAAUUCUGCCUUCUGCUUCAUCUCAGAUGAUUAAAGAAAUCACUUACACAGGUGACUGACACACAUGAAAAAGAAUGUCCUGGCAGACAAAAAUCAAAGUAUCAGCUCUGAGUGUGGUGCCUUACCUGGUGUUAUGUAUCCAGUAGCAGCAGCUGCCCCGACAAAUGCCCCUCGUGUUAAAGCACCUCGUCCUCUGCCUCGAACAGCCUGGACUGCUGCAGAAACAGCUGUAUUGACAACCCCUUUAGUCUGCCCAGAGUGACAAAAAAUAGCAGUUCAGAGAGUGAAAGUGUUGCUGGAAUACAAGGCCACCUGCAUUAAAUGACCCCUUUCAGAGAGCUCUUUAACAUGCCAGAUGUGCCAGGCUGGCUGGGCGCGGGCUGGAGCAGUCUGUGCUGGAGGCUGUGACUGACAGGAACACGGCAGGCCCCUUGCCCGGGCACUGACUGCAGAGCCCAGCAGUUCCCUCACCCACACCCCGUUAUUUACCUCACAUUUGGUCAGCACUGAACACCACUGGCUUCUGACCCUCUCUCUGCUGCUCCUCCCUGCUCUUUUCCCACCUCCUUACAAGCUUCCUCUCCUCAACCUACAGCACUGUCUUGGCUUCUGUCUUACCCUCCUGAACCCACUGCAGCAGGCCAGGAUUUCACCCCAAAGACAAACAACCACCUCACAACAACACCAGCCUGUGUUAACCUUACUUUACUAGAAUGUUGCCUCCUGUAUCAAAAAACAAUCCAGAGCUGGGAUAUCAGAGUCCAAAAAGCAAGUAACAAUUCUUACCUGAGGAAGAAUCUUCUUCUUCUUGUUGUUUGCUGCAUUAGGCCCAGAAAACAGUUUUUCAAGUGCUGCUAAUGCAGCACUUGCUUUUGCUACCUUCUUGUUUGGGCCUGCACCUCUGAACUUCUGCCCAUCUACUUCUACCUGAAAAUUGAGACAUGAGUUUAUGCCUAGUAUUGAUCUCUGGGAAUACCAUACUGCACCCACUGGGCUGAGGUGCCACCCACAGAGAACCUGAGGAGGAAAAAAUCCUCUUGUGUUUUAUGUGACAAAUUUCCAUUCAUUCUAGAUAUGAAGCUGGUAAAGGAUACCAGGGUUAUCCUGGGAACUAGUGUAUCCCAUAUAUACUGGGAAUCUGGAAACCACAAGUGCAAUUCAGAGAGGAGCAGUAUCUAUUGGAUACUGGAUUUAGCCCAUCCCCUGGAGCUUUCCUUGACAGGAAUCCCGUGAGGCUCCCCUUGAUUUCAUCAAUGCCUUACAGACCAACAUCCUUGCCUGCACUAUACCCUGAACUGCAGCAGCAAGGGGCUCUGACCCAUGGUAAUGAACCCCCCCCAACUGCAGCUCUGCUGCACUCACCUCCAUCACAAAGCGCUUGUCGUGGCUCCCCCCGGUCUCAGAGAUGAGCUCGUACUUGAGACCUCUUCUCUUUUCAUUGAGCUCCAUCACCGGGUUUUUGCCACUUGCUGUGAGUAUGGGACCCUGAGUUCUUACCUAGAGAGACAUUCAGGGUGUUACUUUAGAGCCUUUAUCUCUUCAAAAGGCGGCCAAAGCUGCGCAGACCUGUAUCCCAGGUAACACUGCCUGGCUGCAGCAAGACGUGCUGUGCUGGCAGAGCACGUGGGAAGUCUCUGAAGAAGGGCAGGAGGACAGACAAUGGUGUCAAAGAAGUCACAGCUGUUUGUUGGCGAGGGCAGUGUCCUCAUGGCCUGGUCUGGUGCCUGCACAACCUGAACUUGGAACUGCAACCCUGAGAGAAUGCAGAGCUAAAGGUGGGGCCGGGGUGUCAAGUUCCUUGAAAGGGAAGGCUUUAUCACCAGAGGACAGACUGGCCUUCCCAACCCUGCACACGUCUCUGCUCUGUCUAAUUACGGCCUGGCACUGCCCAGCUCUGACUGAAGGAGUCUCAUACCCCGAGUCACGUGUGUCAGCAGAAAUAUCUGUUACUGUCUGGAGAGCAAGGAAGGUAAAGCUGAGAUCUCAGCACACCAGCGGAUCAGCCUGCAAUGGAAUGCUCUCAGCCUCGGUUACAAACAGGGCAGUUGGGUUUAAAACACUCCCUUUCCCUGGAAAUUUCUCAGUGGACUAAACAUGUAUGUGAUUUGAGUUAUCCAUGAUAACACACCCUCUGGAAAUUAAGUGUCUCCCAAGUUAAAAAAUUCACGUUUUAAUAUCUUGACAAGAACAGGAAAAAAACCCAGUAAAAAGCAAAAACCCAAAGCCCACAUCUCUCUGUCACUUGUACCUUCCAGGCAAUCCUCACCUCUAGGGUAGCAGAGGUGUCCGCUGUGGAAUUUCCAGUAUUAUUGCUUGAGAUUGAAGACGUAGUUUCAUUUUUACCUUCAGUAUCUGAUUUUUCAUCAGAACUCACACACUCCGCAUCUGCAUCAAAACCAGUGGGAUACCCCAUGGCUUGUAAAACCUACAACAGAGCCCCGGGAAAUGAACUGUGACAGAGGCAGCGGACAGGAACAAAUACAAAGCUGAUCACAACACCAAAAAACAUCCACCAUACACUUAAUACAAGCAGAUUGCUUAGAAUGGUAGUUUUCUCCUGUUUGAAAUGGAGAUAACCAUUUCAAUGGAUAUCAGUGGGGAAUACAGUAUCAAUGGGGAAAAUAAUUCCAGGUUUCCAAAAGUGGAAUCAACACAAACAAGAAUUUUAGUCUCAAAGAUAGCAAUUACUCAUGAGCAUCAUAAGUAUCUCGAGAAUUCCUUGUAAAAUAAGAGAUUAAAGACACUGUUUAAAAGCCCAGUCACACAUGAUGUUUCCCCUCUCUGUGUCUAUGGACAGAUCAGGAGAUGGACUGUGGGGCAGACAAGGCAAACAGUCUUGUGAGUAUUAAAACCUUGUACAAGAUGGUACUUCUGGAGCUCAGUUCCUUCAAAAACAUGCUCCACUAGCAAGGCCAGCCUCUCCCUUCACCAGCUUCCUGACCCAGCUGUGCAGAGCUACCAGACUAAAGGAAUCUGAGAGGAACCUGAAGCUCUGCUGAGAAUUUAGUCCCAAGAACAAAGUCUGCAAAAAUCACUUUGUUCCAACCCUCAGCUGAGAACUGCACAGGUAACCCCAGGCUCAGCUCCCAUGCCAUCGGGGAACAUCUGGCUGCAUUUUCAGGGCUUCUACAUUUUAAAGAGGUCAGAUUAGAAAGUGAAAUGGUCACAUUAUUCCCUCUUAUAAGAGUGGGAAGGCAGGGCCUGGAUCUGCUAGGAAAGGAAAGACAGAAAAACAGCAAGUCUCUACCACACCACCCAUUUCCUCUUGGCUUGAAUCGUGGAUGUUUUGAUGUGUAAAUUUAGAGAAAAUGGAGCUGGGUCGGCACCAGCACAGAUCUGGCUGAUGCAGAGAGGUUCAAGGGCAGAGCAGUCACAGAUUUUCAGGGCAAGUGGGUUUUUUGGGCCUUUUUUUAACAAUUGCAGGGAGGGAGGCAAAAUAAAAAGAAUAAGGCAGAAGGUCUGGAAGGACACACAUGCAGAGAGCUACUUUUCCUGGAGGAACAACACAUGCCCUCAGAUACUUCUGGACACUUUGAACUUGAAAGCACAUAGGACAAUGGGAUUUUGAAAACUGAAGUCAAAGGAAAGCAGAAAGUUGCCAGAUGAAGCUUCUGAAAAGGAAAUUCUUGUUCAAAACAAAACAAAGCACAGAACACAGAUGGGCCUGUUCCUGUCAGAGCUGCAGUUCUGUUAACAGAGGUUUUUUCACAGAACCACUUAGGUUAGAAAAGACCUGUAAGAUCAUCGAAUCCAACCAUUGGUUACCCCAGCCCUGCCAAGCCCCCACUGAACCACGUCCCCAAGCACCACAUGUGCGGGAUGCUCACACUGGGUGUUCCAGUCUGCCACUGCUGUCAUGUAGAGCACCCCCAAGAAGAACAGCAGGUUGACUUGUCCCAGAAUGAGACCACAGUCCUAGUGGAAAUUUGACUGGAGACCCAUCAUUUACAUCCACUGCUCCUCCCAGUACACAAAGGUACUUUCAGACACUGAGGCCAGGAAACAACUCCAUCUUUCCAGGUACUCACAAGCCAGGAAUGGACAGAAGGAAGGGGAGAAAGAGGGAGCCACCAGCAUGCUGUUUCCAAACCAACAUAGGAAGGAAUAGAACAGAACUCAACUGAAUCCCCCCCAUCCAGGACUUGACCACCACAUUCAGUCCAUUGCAACAUGAGCUGACCUGCAGAGCCCUGGGAAGUUCUGCCCCCCGACAGCACAAAACCAGUGAUGCUCUUUGAACCAUGCCCAGCCAUGUUUAAAGCACACAGGAAGCAGCUCAGCUUCAUCCAAUGUUUUUUAAUUUUGAGGUUUCAUAUUACUAGUUCUAUUCACAUUUCAUACUCUGUCCCAAGAUCUGGGGUUAGCAGAUUACUUGAGGCUGCCUUACCUUCACUGCCACAUGGAGCUUGGCUGUUUUCUUAGAAGGUCCUGAUGCUUCAUAAGUCGUACCAUCAACAUCUACAGACAUUGUGAAGACUGGGGCAUGGACUGGACCAGACUGUGACAGCAGCUUAUACUGAAGCCCUGGCCUGAUUUGGUUCAGCCUCAUCAGAGCAUUCAUGAGAUCUAUUGCUUUACUAUCUAGUACUAGUACAAGAUAGUAGAAAGGGUGGGGGAAGGAGGGGGAAGGAAAAUGAACAAAACAAGAUGAACAGAAAAAUGAAACAGUUUGCAUUUCAGUGCCUUCUGUUUGUAUCAAGGAGCAAAACCACCCCUUGGCCUCUCAGAGGUUGAGGAGAGCCAUAAUGCUGUUAAGGCUUUAAUAAGAUUAUUUAUAUCAUUUAAUAUAAACUAUAAUAUUUAAUAUAAACUAUAUUAUUUAAUAAGUCUAAUUUGGGGUAGCAACUAUAAUUACCCGGUUUUUAUAUUAACACAACUCUUUUGCAGCUAGCUGUACUCUUCCUGGCUGCUGUAAAAGGAGUAACAAGUUUUAUAGGUAGUGGGGAACAAGGUCCAGAGCUGGCACCCAGGUAGCACAAUGCAAAUGGCCCCCAGAAGGACUGGAUCCCAGCAAUGCCAAGAGACUUCCAGUCUGUGCCUAUAUGCAACAUUAACGUUUUGUAGAUCAAACAUUUUAUUUUUUUUUUGUGGGAGGUCUUGGGAGACCAGGAAGGGUAAUAAUGCAGAGUCCAAUCUUCACUCAGCAAAGUCAGUGCAGUACUUUGAAAAACCCACAGUAUUGGGACAUUAUCAAUAAAAACCCUCAGCUGCUUGGACAACUUCAAUUCUAGUGUAACUUGAUGGGUAAUCCCAGUUAAAAAUGCAAAUCAUUCAGUUAGUAAAACAUGUCAGGGGAAAUUCAGAUGCACAGUAAGAGAUGUGUUUGACAUUCCAAAUGCAGGGUGAUAGAGACAACAUCUUUUUGUUCCAAAGACUUUUUCACAUGCUCUACCACACCAACACAGAGAAGCUUUUAAAGCAGCUCCCCCUGUACAAUAGAUCUUUGAAAACAGAAUGGAGAAGUGCUGCACUUACUUUUCCUCAGAUUACGCUUCAUCUUUUUAUUUGGAUCCUUGUCAUCCCCGACACUGUCUUCAAAGGGUCUCUUCAGAGCAGACGAGCCUGUACCUGGGGUAUAAAGUUCCUUGUAAUAUGGAUAUGCCAUUAGAAAAACAACAUUCCACAGCAGGAGUCUGAUUAGUCCCACACGGUUCCUUGCUUGUUUAUAGUGACAAGAGCUCAUCCAUCAGUCACAGCUCUCUUAUUGCUGCACAGAAGCCAAUAUUGGUUUACUGCUCAGUGCACCAGGCCAGGCAGGAUGUCUGUGGCCAAUACCAGGUGGGAGACAAGCCCUGCAAACCUGCAGGGCUGUUUUCCACAGUUACUCUUAAGGCAAGAACUCCACCAGUAUUGUUUUUACAAAAAAUACAAGUGGAAAUUUAUUCUUAUUAGAUGUAUAUUGUUUUCUAGGAAGAAUCCUUGGGUAAUUCUUAUUAUGGACACUCAUUAUAUGCUUCUGACAGUUUACAGUCUUUACUUCCAGCAUAAGAAUCAAACACUACUUCUGCUCUUUGGAUGCCAAAGGCCUUCCUGGUUAAAGAAAUUCAUCAGCUAUAUUGUAGCAGUACCCCUACUCCUCUCUUGGUAUUUAUAGAGAACAGAAAUUCCAGAUUUUCUCCUAACUAUGAAAUAUUUUUUAAAAAAAAUCACCCCACAUAUAACACCAAGAAAAGCCUCUACUUCACAUUCACAGCACAUAACUCAGGAACUUCACCCAUUCUAAAUUAACCCCUAGUUUACUGCCCAAUCAGUGAUUUUUGGAACAAAUGAUACCUACCUUCUUUGUCAGUUACUGACCAGGAAUAUUUCUGAAAUGACUUAUUGGAUGGGAGGGGAUCCAUUUCCAACACCUUAUAGAUCUGCCCAAAGGCUGAUAGUCUGAGGGCAUGCUGCAGGGGGAGAGGAGAAACAGGGGUUACAUCCCAGCAGGACUGCACAUCAGCUGGCCAAGUUUGUAGAUAAGUCUCUAGACACAAACCCCCUCCUCUGAGGAGGCAGCUUCUCCAGCUGGGGAGAAUGGCACUGUCCAAAAACGUGCAACUGGUUAAUUCCUGGCACACAGGGUGCAGGGGCUCCUCCCUGAGGGGAGCCCACCCAGGGCUCUGUGCCACGGGCACCGAGGUGGGAUGUGAGCAGGGCACAGGCAUCUCACUGCCUGAGGGGACUCACACACUGAACUCCUGCACUCCUGAACUGGGGUUAACCUGGCCAGGGUAGCACCCCACAGGAACUGCCAGGACUGCCAUGGAAUAAGUUCCCCUGGCAGAGGAGAACUGAGCUGCUCUCCCUGCUGCAGUCCAUCUGCAGGGUGUCCUACCUGGGCACUGUGUGUAAUGGCUUCUUUUUGCUGCACUGUCAUGUCAGACAAAGCGUCCGUGGGCUCGCGCUCGCAGGGGUCGUGCAGACCCGGCCCUCCUGGCGGGGAGAGAGAGGCAGAGGGAUUACUGGGAGGAAAGAGAAGCAAUAUGGAAACAGGGGCUGACAGGGAAUGCUGAAGGCUGGCACUGGCUGCUGCAGAGUGGGGAGCACACCUUCUCCAGCAGGGAGUCAGACCUCGUACAGAGCAAGCUGACCCUGAGGUUUUAAUCCUUGCAGUACUGGCCAGAGAACUUAGCAGGGUAACGCUGCACGUGUGUGAUAACAUGAACUGAAAGCAGUAGGUUUAAAAAUAAAAAAAUCCAAAUAAUUUGGACAGCUACAUAGUCUAUUUAUUUGUAACCUCUUAAUGAGAUCGGGGUUAAUUUACACACGUUCCUUUCGUCCCCCAUUAACCUCUCCUGCAGUGGCAGUACUCGUUCACACAGUGACCACCAUGCAACCUCCUUUUUUUUUUUAUUUUAAUUUUACACAAGAAACCAUUAGUUUCACUCCACAGCAGAUUCAGAGUUCAAGGCAGGCAUUUCUCAUCUAAUCCUACAGCAAGAGCUAAAUUUAAAGCUGGCUGAUCAACCCCUUGUGUUCCUGGAGUUCAUUUGGCCCCUUACCGGGAAGCAGAAUUCCAGAUGCCAAACACUCCAUGACUCGUCGCAACGCUUCCCCAGCGCCCAAAGGUCUAUUACAAGUACCUAUAGAUUUUUCACAUAUAAGCUCGAGUGGCUAGAAGACAUUAAAUUACGAUUAGUAUGGACACAAGGGUAACUGUGACUGCAGUUAAAUAUGGAGGGGCAGAGGGGAAGAACAUUCACAUCAGGUGACUCAUUUUUAAUCCACUACAGGUCUAAUGGACAGGCCCAUCCCAGAGGAGGCCACAUCCUCGUUCGUGGCACACGUCUUUGUCCCCUGCUCUGAGCUGCCUUCAGAGGACACCAACUGCUCUCUGCUGUCUGCCCAGGAAGUGGAAAAGGAGGAGCCUCUCGGGCCAGAUCAGGAGUGACGUUUUGUGGCACGUGAUUACUGAACAUCCAUCUGUGUAUUUCUGUGAGGAAACUUCACUGGGACAAUAUAAACAUCUGCUUAAAGCUCAAGUAUUGUAUCAAACAGGGACAACAGCAACACACCUUGGAACGGGCAGUCAGAGAGCCAGUCCCUCACGUGUGCUGCUGCUGCAGAUGGAGUCACAGCAAUACAGGGGCUGCAAGAGGCUCAGCAGCUGCACAGGGAUUUACAAAGCCAGGAAUGAAGAUGAGCAUAGAGAGAAACUGUUCACACGGCACAGGACGGGGUUGGGAACGGAGAAAAAGGAACUUCAGCAGGGACCAUCAGUGGUGGAAAUGCUCAGUUUGAAGACCACAAGCCAGGCUGCAAAAUUAAUUUCUCGAUAAUGUCAUCUCCAGUGUGUCACCUGGAACAGCAGCAAAGACACUUCCAGCUCUUCCUUUGUUAAAGAAGCUCCCUCAGCCUUUGCAUUCCCCACCAUCUCCUUGGGAUCGAGUCCCCAGCAUCAGACCUUGCCCUCCUGUCAACAUCGAGCAACAAAUCUCUGAGCAGCAGCAGAAGAUCCACAUGAGCAUCCUGGAGGCAGCACAUGAGCCACAGGCCCCUGCUGCUCCAGAGGACAAUGGAGCCCCUCUUCUGUCAGGCAGCAGAACACACACAGUCUGUUCUCGGGAAGAACAGGAGCCAGGAAGGACAAGAAGAACAUUGCAGGACACCAGCAAGGGACCCGAGCCUUUCUGCAAGGUAAGGGGAAGCUUUGCAGCCCUGCUCAGUAAAGCAGCUCCUCAGCACUGAGCAUCUCACUCUGCACACCAAAUUCCACCAUAUGGUUUGGCUUUGAAGGAAAAAAACCACAGGCAGCUGCCUUUGCCACUUGGUUUUUCUAGAGCUUUAAGAGACAUAGGAACAGGCUGUGGAGGAUAAGGGAGUUCAUUCUUCUCUCUCUCUCUCUCUCUCUUAACAAACAAACAAAUUAACCAGUCAACCUCCCCAGCCUUCCCACUACAUACUACAUGGCCACCUAAACCACCCAAAACCAAAUGGGAAGGAUAGAGGGUCUGAGAGCAUCUUUCUUACAAAUCAGAAGAGACACUGGGAACUCCCAGAUGACCAGGAGUGCACGUGCCUGAACCCCAAUGACACCCCUCAAACAAGGUCUCUUCAGUCUGCUCCACACUAAGCUCCAGCCAUCCAACAGCAGUUUAUAAGUCCUGGGAGUUCAUUCAGGAUGGCUGCUUUGAUCCUAGAUCUUUUCAGGAGAUUUUUCAAAGUUUGCUAGAGUAUUUUCAGCUGGAAAGGACCCACAACAAUCACCAACUGCAACACAAGAGGAGCACAAAUAAUGAAAGCAGAGCAGGGAAAAGGAAAGAGGGGAAGUACAGUAAAUCCUGUACUCCUCAGCUCUCUGCCAGAAUUCAGUUUUCUAUAGGCUGUGCAUGAGACUUGCUACUGUGCUGUGUGAUGAGGGCAAAGGGAGCUCAUUGAGCCAAGGUGCACCUGCUAAAACUGGCACUAAAACUACUGCAAGUGACUGGUGCCCAGCACAAACAGAAAGCCAGUCCUUGUUCCUCUGGCACAAGAGGACUCCUUCCUGCGAGUGCCACGUACAGCUCAGACAUUUAUAAGCAAAAGCAAAGACACUGGCCAAGGGAUUUGUAUUAAAAUACAGAUUACAGCUCACAGGGUGAGGGAAAUGGCAAAGGGAGCAGUGAGUCCAUGGCCAGCCAGGCUCUCCCCAAGCAGCCCUUCCUCUGAAGGAGCUGCAAGGAGACAGCCUGAGCCAACAGUUUCUACAGCAACUGCAGAAGCAGCAGUUCAGUGAUACUCUGAGCCUGCAGUAACUGCAGAAGCGUCAGGAAAUGGAUACUCCAGAAGGAACCUGCCACAGUUUCACCUGGACUGCCUCCACCUCCCUGGGCAGUCCAUUGAUCCCAGCCAGCUGAGCUCCACUCUCUACUUGCCCAUUCCUCUGCAAACACUUCUGAAUCCUCUUUACCCUUGAUGUCCUUUCAGUACACUUGCUCCUCUUCAGAAUUUCAUGGAAUUUGACACAGGCAUGAGAGAGAGUUUUGUAGACACGGUGCUGGAAGGAUGAGUGUCCUCAUCCCUCCGUGUGUGGGGCUGCUGCAACUCCUCAGGGAGGGUGGAAUGCUGUUAUGACAAUGGCCCUGUGCUCGUGCUGCACCACUAAAAGCACCCUUGGAAGCAUCUCAACAGGAACCAAAACAGAGGCUGGUUACCACCCAACUGCACAGAAAGAGCAGAGCCAUUUGUAACAGGGUGACUUCAACACUGAUGUGCAGAGGCCAUAUUAAGGAGCAAAAUACUGCACCUAUGCACUUGGUAAGUGUCUCAACUAAGAACUGUCACUCACUGAAGGAUGUUUGGGGCAGGACAUCUCUCAUUACCCUUUUAAGAAUCUGCUGUAGAUUCUCAACAGUUCCACGUAAACUUCAUCAGUUCCACACAAACACCCUUUUGCACGAGUUUUUCCUUAACUCUGCAGUUUUACUUUGUUUCACACAAACUUGGCACGAAGCUCAGACUCCUGACCCUCAGCAAGAAGUUAAACAACACUGCUCGUUUGUUUUUAGAAGGGUCAGGAAGUUUCCAGUUUCAGGCUCAUCAGUGUUCCGGGUGGAGGGGAGCAACAUGUACAGUCCCAGCUCAGGGACAUUCAGUAUUCAACCCCUCUGCAAAGAGCAGAGACCUGGCAAAGAUGCACUUCCUAAACUGCUCUUUUUAUUGGUUUAUUACAUGAGGCCACAUCCACAAAACCAGAUUUUUGGUCAAGAGUUCACUACUUAUAUAAUACUGACUCCCAGCUACCUGCUUCAAACAAUAUCCUCUAUCUCCUGGGCUAACAAAAGGAAAAUGACUGAAUUCCCUCAAAAGAUAAAGCAGACUGCAUGAAAAUAGUGGAAAAGAAUCUCAUUCCCACACUAAUGGUAGUAGAGAAGAAACAUAAAGGCAAACAUAUUUUGUUUUUAUCUUUGUGCCUUUUAUCAUGAUUGUUUCAGAUAGCACCAUCACUAUUGUGACAGUUAUUUCUAAAACGUGAAGUACUAUGAAAUCUAAAGUGGAAAAGUGUCUUAUAAGUUGUUAAAGCAUCAGCAUGCAAAGAUGACUUCUGGAUCAAAUUUACUCCUUAGCAGGCUGGUUUUGAAGGAAUAAACAGUACAGUUCCAGACAACCAUCUUUUAGUACAAAUUAAUAUUAAAAAGUCACUUAUUUAGCAACUAUGCACAGUGUCAGGUUCCACAUAAUCUGCUAAGACUAAAAAGUCAACCAAAAUGUUUAAAUUGUUGAAAAUACCCCGGUUACAGGAGGUUCUUAAGCGGCUCCAAGGUGGGAGUCAUGAUUCUUUUCUCUUACACAAAUUUAGACAACUGUGUUCUCUCUCCAGCCUCCUGGCCAUCUGUAGAGAUGAGGAGGUGUGUACAGAUGUGGGCUCAGAGCAGAACAAGCUCCUUCUCUGAGCUCAUAUUUUUGGCAGUCACCAAUUUCACCCUCACCCACCAGAAGCAGAGAAGUUAUCAGUUUUGUCUCCCCCCCUUUCCCAGUAUUUGCCUUUCUUCCUGGCUUUUCUAGAACACUUGUCACCAUAUUUACUGGAGUACAGUUAUCACUGGUUUUAAAAUAACAGUUUUUCUAAGACGGAGAAAUAUUUCAGGUCUUUAUAGGGGAACUUCAGACACAAAGAAAUUAAAUUGUGCAGUAAAUCAGCGGCAGAACCUGAAAAGGGGCCAAAUGCUCCCCUAAUCAAUACUUGCAGGUUAAUCACAGAGUUGCUCAGUGCCUGGUGUUGAAGGGGUUUACCCACUGGGCUUUUUAGCAGUUUCCAGUUUUGGAAGGAAUGCUCCCAGUUCUCCUGGACACCCCAUCCCCGUUACCCCUGUAGGCAGCACCGCAUUUCAAGGCUGGUGCUGCUCUUUAAGGUCACCCAAAUGGCACAGCUGAUCACUUUAAAGGAACAGAUUAAGUCUCUGUAUGACUGAGGACUUGGAGAGCAUGACUGGGUAACCAAAGAAGCCCUAAUCUGUUUGCCAAGUCCAAUUAUCCAGACAUGGAAUCAAGAGAUCAUGAAGCAUUAGGACACUGAAUAACUGCUCACCAAACAGCUUCAGCUCUCUGGAAAGAUGACAAUCAUAAGAGUCUCUGACAUGGAAAAGAGGUCCUUCAAAGCAGAGGUGGGGAGAAAUCAGGCCUUGAGCAUUUAUGUUUUCCUCUCAUUUCAUGCUGAGCUAAACCAGCUAAAGAGCAAAGGGGAAGAGACUGGGAUUGGAAGUAGAAGAGUAGAAAUCCAAAUGUUCUGAAUCUGUAUAUCUGUGCAUUUACAAAUUCCAGCAGAUACCUGAGAUUACAUCUGGGAUCUCGUUUCUCAGUUUAGCAAAGGUCUUUGAAGCAAAUAAGAUGAGCCCAAGCUCCUUCACUCCAGUGAGAGUCCAGGCAGCAGCUCCAAUAGCUUCUCAGGUAGGAUUUCAGCCUGGUUUACUUAAGGGAAAAAAAAAUCUCCAGUUCUCACUGCACUUAUUGUUCAGCAAAGCAACUGCAGAAGCCAAGAACUGAGGCCAUACAAAUUCUUCUUUUUCUUUGUUUCAGGGUGAGGAGUUACAUAAUAAGUAACAUUCAUCUAAAGUGUUGCCCAUUAGCAGAAGACCCCACCUAAGCACAUCUUUCCUGUCUUUAUAUACAAAGAAAAAUUAGCCAGUCAGGUUUCUGGAAUCCAGUGUAAAGUACAGCCCAACCUGAAAUGUCUCUUUCUAAUUUACUCUAAAUCAGUCCAGGUGUGGCCCUGGGGUGCACAACUGCCACAAUAUAUGGGGCUAAACACUUCCCACAUUUUCAUGGGUACCUUCUGUUCCUCAGUUUUCUCUACAAGCACGUUAUAGUCUUCCAUACUGUGCUUUAUGGAUUCCUUGCAACCCCUUCAAAUGGCCUGCUUGGAGAUCCAUGUUCUCUCCUUGUCCUGUCACACCACAGCUUUCCAGUGGCUGUGUGUAUUCUCUGGUACUUCACUCCCUGAAGUCACAGGCUGUGCACCUACAGCUGCCCUUUCUAUUCCAGAGUCCUUUCCAUAUCCCCAAAUUGUCACAUUAGACAUACAGCAAUCAGGCAGAGCAGAGAAGGAAAAGUAGAAAGGCACUAAGUGCAUGGAGGGUCAGGGAGCAAACCACAGGCCCCAGAUGCAGAGAAAAAGAGCAAGUUGCCAUAUGCAAAGAGCUGCCCCUUCAGCACAAAUUUAUCAAAAACCAGGAAUAAAUGACUGAUUUUUCUACUUGUCUUCAAACUGGAAAAUGGAUGUCUUCACCCAGACUGAGCAUCAGUCACACACCUACCAGAACAUCACAGAGCCUCCUCAGCUGGAAAAACCAGCCACGCAGGUUGGGCCACUGCCACCUCUCCCCACGUGGCCAGAGAAUUAACACAUAAACAGCUGUUCUGUGCAUUCAACUUCAAAACUGAUCAGAUGUUAACACACAGUUACUCAGCAGAUCCACUGAUAACGUGUCAGUUGUUGUGCUUAAUGAAAACCUGCACAGCCCAGUCCAUGGAUCCAACCCACACCAGGUGAUCCCGCUGCUGCUCUGUCAGAAACACAGCACCAGCUGACACUGAGAGCCAUGGGGCAGGCACCUCAAAUGCUCCUGAUUUUCUUUUUUAAUAUGAGCUGUAAUUGGUUUUUUGAAUGGGCCUAUUUGUACUGUCCUAACCAUAGGCUUUCACCCAGUCUCCAGGUGAUGUGUUUGGUCCCUGUCUUGCUAAGCAGGCUGUAAAAAGACCUUUUAAAUCAAACACCUCCUUUAGUCAGGCAUAUGCCAGCUGGCAAGCUUAAAACAUCCCCUACAUAAUAUUAGGCAAUGAAAUUCAGUGGAGUGCAGCAUGGUGGCUCAUUUCCUUGAUGACUUUGGUACACUCUCCUUAUGGAGAGAGAUCAUGUUUAUGGAAAGGGUUAAAUUGGUAACAGUGGCUGCUGCACCAUAACAAAAAACAAAGCCUGCAGUAAGUAAUGAAAAUUUUUAUGCUUCCUCCAUGACUUACCACAAUCCACUGUUACAGGAGCCCUUUCAAAUAUAGACUGAAAAAGGUGAAUUGGUCCCACAGUACCACUGGAACCAGGUGAAGCCAUUUCUUGGCAAACUCUCACUGGAAGCACUCGGAGCGCUGGAUGCCCAGGAAGACCCUACUGGCAGUCUCAGCCCCCUCAGCCUGUGCAGGGCCAGUUUUGGCACAGCCUAUUUGUGGCCUCCCACACACCUGGGGGCUCUUGGUGCCUUUCCAGAAGGCAGGUGCUGCCAGCUGAGAAGUGGGAUUAGGGAAGAUUUUGUUUGGGGUCAUUCUCAACCCAGGCCAAUAGCUCAGGAGAAACAUCUCCCCAUGGAACAUCAUCCCUGUGUCUCAGGGAACACUAAAGACUCCUGAGGGCCCAACGCUUGAGACGCUGUGCCAACACUCCAGUCUGCUGUGUGACAAGUCAAACAAGGAAUGUGUUCAGUGAAAGUGUCUCCCCUCCCAAGAAUCAGAAGGAAAAGAGAGAAGGAAAGGCCCUAAACUCAACCUGCCCUUUUCUGCUCCUACUGGGAGGGCAAUUUCUGUGAGGCAGCACCAGUUUCUGACCACUGAAUUCAUUUACUGCCAAGCCAAGUGCCAAGUUCUGCCUCAAUCACUAUUUCACUUCAGAGUUUAAGGUCUAAAAUCUUAAUCAGCUCUGGUUUAUAAUAUUUCUUCAAGUUCUGUGACAUCUUGUGGCUACCCACAAGAAAGAAUGUUCUUCCCAACCAGAUAUUCAAACAUUUAAUCUUUCAAUACAGUCAAAGUAAAUGCACAAAAAGAACAAGAAGCAGCAAAAUUUAAUUUACUGGGAUAGCCAUACAUACCCCAAGUUUAUUUUCUUUUUCAGCAUACAAUUAAGAGUAAUUUAAUUCCCCUACGUAGGCAUUACAUGAAAGAGAAACAUUACUGUGAGAAGAGCUCAGUACUAUUGGUACACAAACCUUACGACAGAUAAAUUAGACCUUAGGAAAACAGCAUAUAAUUUACAUUUUGUUAUGUCAAUCACCAGCAGCAUCUUAAGGCUCUUAAACACCAUGCCAAACCACAACAUAAGGGAACUAAUGUAAAUCAACCCAUGUGGCAGGAUCACUUCAGUUUCCACAAUCCAAGAGAUCCCCUAAAAUGGAUUUCAUCAGAUUAUUCCUCUUCAACAUCCAUUUACACCUUUAAUUUGCCAGCACGUUAUGACAGUCUUUUACUCCAAGAGCUACCAAGUUGUGCAUAGUUCUAGAAAAACCAACAGUGUAAAACAAGGACAUGAAUUAAUCCCUGGCCUUCCCUAGAGAAGCCAAUGGGCAAAUGUGCAGGUGGCCCAGAAAAUCCCCCCUUGGAUUAGUCCCAGAGAUCUUGGGUUCAGCAGAGGGACAGAAAAGGACCGUGCUUUACAUCCCUUCCCCAAGAGCAGAACAAAUGACAUACCCCGGGUUUGUUCUCUCCCACAGCACCUCGGCCACAUUCCAGCUCUGCCCGGGAAAUGUCAGGAUGGGCUUUGCAAAGGAGAACUGUGAGCAAGGCAACAGCCCAACACAGCCCGAGGGUUCUCUGUCCUCUCCCAUUCCAGGGUGUUUUACAGGGAGACCACCGGGAACAGGAGGUAAUUUAGCUACGGAAUAAAGCCCCAAAAUCCAAAGAGCAACAUGUUUACUCACUCCUAUAAUUCAUAAGGAUUCCUGUGCAGGUUUUUUGUUAAGGGACAUGAAUUGAGGUUUUCAGAGAAGUUCAAUGGGAACACUGUCCCUCUGUGAGCUGGAACAGACACGAACUGGGACUGUUCUCUGUCAUCAGUGCUCCGUGAAAAACUUGCACAUAAGAAGGAAAAACGACACAAGUGCCAAGAAGGGCAGAAGUACAACUGAAAAAAUAUUGUCUCUGGCCUUGUAGCUUGUAUCAAUUAUUGCUUUUAACAAAAGAUUAUCAGCAAAUGUCAGGUAGGGCAGCUCAGGCUUCUACUUCCUUAAACAUCGAGUACAAAGUUUCUGUUUAUCAAAUCACGCUGCAAGUGCAACAAACGUACUCAAACUCUGCUUUCCACAGAAAGGUUCAAGACUUAAAUUUUUCUGCUCUUUCAAUCUGUAUCAGUUUUUCCUGUUGCUUUAAACAGGAAUUUUCCUUUUGGUUUCAUCCCUGCAGCACACUCAGCAGCAGUGCAAUCUUCACUUGCCAACACUGCUGGGUUACAGCAAAUCCAGGACACUACAGCAGCCAAGUGCUCCUCAUGUGGGUGUUGUUAGCUCAGUCCUCCCUCCCCCAACCCCAUAAAAUGAGGUACAGACCCCAAAAUGCCAUGCUGAGCUCUGCUGUUGGCAUGGUGAGAGACACCGUAAAUCCAGGCUCCCCAGGAGCUGGAAGGGGGCCCAGGGAGGUGCUGACUGACCCUCAGCCACCAAAACCUCCUGGGUACCUCUCCCUCACCUGCCCCCAGUACUCCCCCUCACCCAGCCCAGUCUAUAAAAUACACCAACUGCCACAGUUCUACUGUUCCCAUAUUCACACUUACACACCUUGGCCCCUUGUAGGUGUCUGUGCAUCACCCCAACCCAGGACAAACUCCUCUUCUCUGUAUUAAUACUCAAACAUGCUCACCGGGGCUUUUUACACACUCAGAAGCUUGUUAUCCAGCCAGAGCCUUUCCCUCUCCCCUCUUUCCAGCCAUGGAGCUUCAAAGAGCUCUAUUUACAUGCCAAGUUACAAAGUUCAGCUGCUUCCAAAGCAACGUGGAAAAACUGCAGCUUUUAUGAUUCUACAGUGAGGUUUUUCACAACAUGAAGCAGCUCCUUUGACUAGUUUUUUUUAAUUUUUUUUUAUUUCCAAACAAGAUUUCACAGUUCAAACCCCCCAAAAAGUCUCAGUCCACCCACAGGCCUUUGAGGGCCUUCAAAAGAGAGCUCUGUGACCUCAAGCAUCAUGUACUGAAUGAACAUCCAUGGAAAAGCUGCUUACAGGUCAGAAACAAGGCUCACCAAAAUCCCCAUAUCCACUGGAGUUUAAACUGUUUCUCUCAUGUUCAGGCCUGGCACAGCCUGCCUUAUGCCAUCUGCUGUUGUACCUUUCCAUUUGCUUACUUUGUUCUCUUGCUUCUGAACCUCUGGUGUGGAAUCAGUCACGUCUGAAAUUCCAUCAGGACAAACCACAAGGCUGGAUUUGGUCACUUCUUCAGCACCAUUCCUAAGAGUUACCCCUGGGGCUCCUCCAGCCCCCAACACAAGUAUUUCUAGAUGGAAUCUUUCUCCACUUCCCCAAGGCAUUAAGUCCUAGAUUUCCACCCCGUAUUUAGCCUGUCAACCACAUGGAGCAAGAACUGGCACUUCAUCAGCAUCAUCUUUGUGCAGAGAUGUCAAUAUUGCCAAUAGUUCAGCAAUAACAACUAGGCUGGAUGAACAGCCCAAGCAAAUAAAACUCCUUUAUAAAAUCAGGACCAACAAAAUCAGCAAGCCUAAGGAUUCUGUUUGAACUAGAAAUGCCAAAGCAGCACCAGACUGGCACCAUCCGUGAUGGGAUUCUGAGAAACAGCAAACUGAAAACAUCAAACCCUCACUGUUAGCAACCCUUAUCCCCUCUUCUCCACAGCUCUCCCUUCAUUCUACACCAACGUGAAGCAAAGGAAAACGACUGGAAAGUUUCAGAGAGAAGAAAAUGCUACAUGCCAAGAACUUCCAGAGGCAAGUCCAACUUCCUAAAAAUGACCAGGAAUUUAGUAGGAGCUACAGCCAGCUCCUGUCUGCUGACAUGGAUUUCUCCUUCCUCUCUGCACUGGCAGGAAAUAACACACCCAGCUUUUCCACCUUUCUGAUGGCCCAUUGAAGAGGUGGCUGUUUAAAUUCUUGGAAAACACUUUUGUGAGACACAGCCUUGUGCACGGGCAGGAAUAGAGCAAUGCAGCCUCUCCAGAGACACCACCAGGCCUUCCUCCCUUCCCAUUCCAAAAGUUUUUAUGGCCUCCCCUCCAAGUACAGACAGAACUGCUCCAUCCUCCUUCCUUCCUUCCUUCCUUCCUCUCUGCCUCCAGUGCUGCUUCCUUUGGGUCUCAGAAAUGGUUACCAUAUCUUUAAAAAUCAAAGAAAACCAGACCAAGGUUUGCAAACAGUCCUUCCUUCUCCGUUCUUUCUAAGGAUGUUUGAAAGUAUUGUGCAUGAAUGGAAGAAACUAUUUUCAUUUUCUGUCUUUACCCUACAAGGCCAGGCUUCAAAUGCUUGUUAGAACACCCAGCUAUUUUAAAUUAAGUUAAAUAGCCCAGCUAUUUUAAUUAACGUACAGUUUCACAGACAUUUUUUGGAACUGGAGAUCUGAAAUACCUGCUGUUCCUGACAAGAAUCCCCACUUAAGUCUGUCUCUGCUUUAACCACACUUAGCAUUUAUGAGUUUCCAGGACAAAGUACGAUAAAACUUCUAAAAACUGUUAAUGAACUAUAGGACACAGAUAAAGGAAAAAAAUAAUUCAGACACAUCCAGGACCCCCAUGUUACAAAUUUUCUCUUCUGCCAUGCCCUGUGCAGGAGCUGUUUGGAAUGUUCGCUCUCUUCUUUCUGUAAAUCAUAUGGCACCAUUUUCAGAGCCAUGUAAAUAAAUAAUAAGACAUUUAGCCAGAUAA